AUCAGGUAGGGAUACCCGCUGACCUUAACCAUAUCACUAACCGGAGGAC
RNAcentral lists this ribosomal RNA (49 nucleotides) under Salvia syriaca. Its description in RNAcentral is "partial 28S ribosomal RNA". Lineage: Eukaryota; Viridiplantae; Streptophyta; Magnoliopsida; Lamiales; Lamiaceae. The record is from RNAcentral.